UACGUAGGGUGCAAGCGUUAUCCGGAAUUAUUGGGCGUAAAGAGCUCGUAGGCGGUUUGUCGCGUCUGCUGUGAAAACUGGAGGCUCAACCUCGGACUUGCAGUGGGUACGGGCAGACUAGAGUGUGGUAGGGGAGACUGGAAUUCCUGGUGUAGCGGUGGAAUGCGCAGAUAUCAGGAGGAACACCGAUGGCGAAGGCAGGUCUCUGGGCCAUUACUGACACUGAGAAGCGAAAGCAUGGGGAGCGAACAGG
RNAcentral lists this ribosomal RNA (253 nucleotides) under uncultured bacterium. RNAcentral describes it as "partial 16S ribosomal RNA". It matches the Rfam family "Bacterial small subunit ribosomal RNA", at positions 524 to 776 of the family's 1533-position model. The record is from RNAcentral.